GGGUUCGAUUCUGCUCAGAUUGAAUGCGCUAUGAUGCUUUACAUGCAGUCGAACGGCAGCAAUGACUGGUCCGGUGGCGAGUGGCGAACGGGUGAGUAAUGUAUCGGAACGUGCCUAGCGGGGACACCCACGGGCAGCAGUAGUUAAUACCGCAUACGCCCUUCGGGGGAAAGCGGGGGACCUUCGGGCCUCGCACUAUUAGAGUUACUGAUAUCGGAUUUAGCUGCUAGUUAUGGGCAGUUAUUCAUCGGCGCACGAUCCGUAGCUGGUUUGAGAGGACGACCAGCUUUGCACACUGGGACUGAGACACGGCCCAGACUCCUACGGAGGCAGCAGUGGGAAUUUUGGACAAUGGGGGAAAUCCCGAUCCAGCCAGUCCGCAAAAGACAAGGCCUUCUGGUUGUAAAGCACUUUUUGGCAGAAAGAAACGGCACGGGAUAAUCGUGUGCAACUCUCCGACGGUACCUGGCAGAAUAAGCACCGGCUAACUACAGCCAGCAGCCGCGGGUAAAAUAUGUAGGGUGCAAGCGUUAAUCGGAAUUACUGGGCGCAGCGUGCGACAAGGUUCGGAAAAGAAAGAUGUAAUCCUGUAGAGCUUAAACUUGGAACUGCAUUUUUAACUACUGAGCUAGAGGUCAGAGUGGAGAAUCGCUAUGUGAAAGGGUGGAAGCAGCGGUAGAUAUGCGGAGGAACACCUGAUGGCGAAGGCAGCCCCUUGGAUGUAACACUGACGCUCAUGCACGAAAGCGUGGGGAGCAACAGGAUUAGAUACCCUGGUAGUCCACGCCCUAAACGAUGUCAACUAGCUGUUGGGGCCUUCGGGCCUUGGCAGCGCAGCUAACGGCGUGGUUGACCGCCCGAGCAUGGUCGCAAGAUUAAAACUCAAAGGAAUUGAUUUGGGACCUGUACAAGCGGUGGAUGAUGAUUAAUUCGAUGCAACGCGAAAACCUUACCUACCCUUGAUAUGUUCGGAAUCCCGAAGAGAUUUGGGAGGUUUCAAGAGAACGGAACACAGGUAUGCAUGGCUGUCGUCAGCUCGUGUCGUGAGAUGUUGGGUUAAGUCCCGCAACGAGCGCAACCCUUGUCAUUAGUUGCUACGAAAGGCACUGAGCGAGACUGCUGGUGACAAACUGGAGGAAGGUGGGGAUGACGUCAAGUCCUCAUGGCCCGCAGGCAGGGCCAUUAUCGUCAUACAAUGGUCGGGACAGAGGCCGCCAACCCGCGAGGGAGCCAAUCCCAGAAACCCGAUCGUAGUCCGGACUGCAGUCUGCACCUUCGACUGCGUGCGGAAGUCGGAAUCGCUAGUGUUCCGCGGAUCAGCAUGUCGCGGUGAAUACGUCUCUGGUCUUCUGUACACACCGCCCGUCACACCAUGGGAUGCGGGUUUUACCAGGGAAGUAGUUGAGCCCCAAACCGUGGCGAGGGCGAUUACCACGGUAGGAUUCAUGACCGGGGUGUCGUAACAAGGUAUUCCUGCGCCGAUUACCUGGAUGCCCCGGUGA
Molecule: ribosomal RNA, 1502 nt
Filed under: uncultured Bordetella sp.
Lineage: Bacteria; Pseudomonadati; Pseudomonadota; Betaproteobacteria; Burkholderiales; Alcaligenaceae
Description: partial 16S-23S ribosomal RNA intergenic spacer
Rfam family: Bacterial small subunit ribosomal RNA
Source: RNAcentral